This 253-nucleotide ribosomal RNA is filed under the name uncultured prokaryote. RNAcentral describes it as "partial 16S ribosomal RNA". It matches the Rfam family "Bacterial small subunit ribosomal RNA", at positions 524 to 776 of the family's 1533-position model. The record is from RNAcentral.
UACGUAGGGACCAAGCGUUGUUCGGAUUUACUGGGCGUAAAGGGCGCGUAGGCGGUGCGGUAAGUCACUUGUGAAAUCUCCGGGCUUAACUCGGAAUGGCCAAGUGAAACUGUCAAGCUAGAGUGCGGAAGGGGCAAUCGGAAUUCUUGGUGUAGCGGUGAAAUGCGUAGAUAUCAAGAGGAACACCUGAGGUGAAGACGGGUUGCUGGGCCGACACUGACGCUGAUGCGCGAAAGCCAGGGGAGCAAACGGG